GCAUUGGUGGCCCAGUGGUAGAAUUCUCACCUUUCAUGUGAGAUAACCAGGUUCGAUUUCUAGCCAGUGCA
This 71-nucleotide transfer RNA is filed under the name Loxodonta africana (African savanna elephant). It matches the Rfam family "tRNA". Rfam says of the family: Transfer RNA (tRNA) molecules are approximately 80 nucleotides in length. Their secondary structure includes four short double-helical elements and three loops (D, anti-codon, and T loops). Lineage: Eukaryota; Metazoa; Chordata; Mammalia; Proboscidea; Elephantidae. The record is from Rfam by way of RNAcentral.